This 501-nucleotide ribosomal RNA is filed under the name Triticum aestivum (bread wheat). RNAcentral's name for it is "partial small subunit ribosomal RNA". The record is from RNAcentral. Lineage: Eukaryota; Viridiplantae; Streptophyta; Magnoliopsida; Poales; Poaceae.
AUGAGUCGACCUAAUGGCAUCAAUAUCCCCGAUGGAAAGUUCUUCCUAGGAGAUGGAGGCUAUGCAUGUCCAGGUGUUCUUCCACCCUUUAAGAAAACUAGCUACCAUCUGAACAAGUUGGAUAGAAACUAUCUUAGGACUCGACAAGAACUGGUUAAUCUCAGUGGCUCCAGCCUUACAGUUAUGAUUAAGAGGGCAUUUGGAGCUCUGAAGAAUUGGUAUAAGAUCCUGGACCAGAAGCAAUUCCACUUCCCCACCCAAGUUAAGCUUAUUCUUGCUUGUUGCAUUCUGAAUAACUGGAUUCUACAGUGGAGUUGUGAUGAACUGGUGCCGGAGGAGGAAGAGGUGACACCUAAUAAUGUUGUCAGCUCUGACCAUGGUGUGGGGGCAUUUGACAAUGAAACCUGAAAGAUAAAAGGAUGGAAUGGGCACACGGAAUGUGGGAAAACAAGGGUCAUACAGGGAUUCAAGAAGAAGAAGAAGAGCAAGAGCAAUAGCUAA